RNAcentral lists this ribosomal RNA (263 nucleotides) under uncultured bacterium. Its description in RNAcentral is "partial 16S ribosomal RNA". It matches the Rfam family "Bacterial small subunit ribosomal RNA", at positions 793 to 1055 of the family's 1533-position model. The record is from RNAcentral.
GUCCACGCUGUAAACGAUGUGCACUAGGCGUGGGGCCCGUACGGGUUCUGUGCCGUAGUUAACGUGGUAAGUGCACCGCCUGGGGAGUAUGCUCGCAAGGGUGAAACUCAAAGGAAUUGACGGGGGCCCGCACAAGCGGUGGAGCAUGUGGUUUAAUUCGAUGGUACACGAGGAACCUUACCAGGGCUUGACAUGUGCGUGAAUGUCUGUGAGAGCGGGCAGCCCCGCAAGGGGCGCGCACACAGGUGCUGCAUGGCUGUCGU